UUGAAUGGUCGCUGUCGAGGUUCCCCAUCCCAGGCAUGGCGGUGGGGCUAAGACGGGAAGCCAGUGGCGCCCUUGCGGGCGGAGUCUGGCGCUGCCCCCGCAACUGUAAGCGGCGAGCGGCGGUUUCCUCGGGUGCCACUGCGCCUUGCAAGAGGCUCGGGAAGGCCGGAACCGUCGCAUUGACCCGUGAGCCAGGAGACCUGCCUCCGACGCAAGACGUUC
This 222-nucleotide non-coding RNA is filed under the name Aureimonas sp. Leaf324. Lineage: Bacteria; Pseudomonadati; Pseudomonadota; Alphaproteobacteria; Hyphomicrobiales; Aurantimonadaceae. The record is from RNAcentral. RNAcentral also lists the same sequence under 1 other name.